Molecule: long non-coding RNA, 557 nt
Filed under: Mustela putorius furo (domestic ferret)
Lineage: Eukaryota; Metazoa; Chordata; Mammalia; Carnivora; Mustelidae
Description: lncRNA (ENSMPUG00000030567.1)
Source: RNAcentral
ACUUUUAAUCAUAAACAUUUUAAAUAUCUUUCUAAAGAUCCUGAAAUGGAAGUCAUACUACCGACCCACAAAACUCAAAGAUAAGCACAGAGGAGAAGUCCAAGGAAGGCUUGAGAGCACGAUGGCAGCUGAACACAUCUGUGAACUCAAAGGCAAAGAGAUGGACAAUGAGUGAAAUGUACCAUGAGGCACAUUUGGUGCAUCAACCAGACCGAUUCAGGCACAAGGAGAUUGGGUUGGUGGAAUGAUAAGAAGUUCCACUCUUUCAAUUGGUUCUCCAGUCUUGAUGGAUUAAGAGGCAAAGGACAUUAUAAACCAAGGGACCAGUACAUGCAUGAACAAGGCCCUGGGCUGUGGGCUGAACUGCCAAGACAAUGCCAGGUAUCCUCAGUUCCUUCUACAAGUCUCCUCUGAUGUGGUUCCUGGACCCCCUGGGACGCUCACCACUUUCUUUUGGAUAUCAUCUGACAUGGCAAUGCUCCUAUUCCAGCGUAGAACUCAGCGAUCUGUAUCACAGCCCCAGGACUGUGUGAAUGGUGCAUAAGUCACAGGAACCA